AACGAACGCUGGCGGCAUGCCUAACACAUGCAAGUCGAACGAGACCUUCGGGUCUGGUGGCGCACGGGUGCGUAACGCGUGGGAACCUGCCCUUAGGCUCGGAAUAACUCCCCGACAGGGGUGCUAAUACCGGGUAAUGUCCUCGGACCAAAGAUUUAUCGCCUUUGUAUGGGCCCGCGUUGGAUUAGCCAGUUGGUAGGGUAAAAGCCUACCAAGGCGACGAUCCCUAGCUGGUCUGAGAGGAUGAUCAGCCACACUGGGACUGAGACACGGCCCAGACUCCUACGGGAGGGAGCAGUGGGGAAUAUUGGACAAUGGGCGAAAGCAUGAUCCAGCAAUGCCGCGUGAGUGAUGAAGGCCUUAGGGUUGUAAAGCUCUUUUACCCGGGAUGAUAAUGACAGUACCGGGAGAAUAAGCUCCGGCUAACUCCGUG
Molecule: ribosomal RNA, 433 nt
Filed under: uncultured bacterium
Lineage: Bacteria
Description: partial 16S ribosomal RNA
Rfam family: Bacterial small subunit ribosomal RNA
Source: RNAcentral